UACGAAGGGGGCUAGCGUUGUUCGGAAUUACUGGGCGUAAAGGGCGCGCAGGCGGCUCGUCAAGUCAGGCGUGAAAGCCCCGGGCUCAACCUGGGAACAGCGCUUGAGACUGGCGAGCUCGAGUUCGGGAGAGGAGAGUGGAAUUCCCAGUGUAGAGGUGAAAUUCGUAGAUAUUGGGAAGAACACCGGUGGCGAAGGCGGCUCUCUGGACCGAUACUGACGCUGAGGCGCGAAAGCGUGGGGAGCAAACAGG
RNAcentral lists this ribosomal RNA (253 nucleotides) under uncultured bacterium. Its description in RNAcentral is "partial 16S ribosomal RNA". It matches the Rfam family "Bacterial small subunit ribosomal RNA", at positions 524 to 776 of the family's 1533-position model. The record is from RNAcentral.